RNAcentral lists this ribosomal RNA (428 nucleotides) under uncultured bacterium. RNAcentral describes it as "bacterial SSU rRNA". It matches the Rfam family "Bacterial small subunit ribosomal RNA", at positions 355 to 775 of the family's 1533-position model. The record is from RNAcentral.
UGGGGAAUAUUGCGCAAUGGGCGAAAGCCUGACGCAGCGACGCCGCGUGAGGGAUGAAGGUUUUCGGAUCGUAAACCUCUGUCAGAGGGGAAGAAACUACAUCGUGCUAAUCAGCAGUGUACUGACGGUACCUUCAAAGGAAGCACCGGCUAACUCCGUGCCAGCAGCCGCGGUAAUACGGAGGGUGCAAGCGUUAAUCGGAAUUACUGGGCGUAAAGCGCACGUAGGCUGUAGUGUAAGUCAGGGGUGAAAUCCCACGGCUCAACCGUGGAACUGCCUUUGAUACUGCACAACUUGAAUCCGGGAGAGGGUGGCGGAAUUCCAGGUGUAGGAGUGAAAUCCGUAGAUAUCUGGAGGAACAUCAGUGGCGAAGGCGGCCACCUGGACCGGUAUUGACGCUGAGGUGCGAAAGCGUGGGGAGCAAACAG